UUUUAUGAGAGUUUGAUCCUGGCUCAGGACGAACGCUGGCGGCGUGCCUAAUACAUGCAAGUCGAACGCUUCUUUUUCCACCGGAGCUUGCUCCACCGGAAAAAGAGGAGUGGCGAACGGGUGAGUAACACGUGGGUAACCUGCCCAUCAGAAGGGGAUAACACUUGGAAACAGGUGCUAAUACCGUAUAACAAUCGAAACCGCAUGGUUUUGAUUUGAAAGGCGCUUUCGGGUGUCGCUGAUGGAUGGACCCGCGGUGCAUUAGCUAGUUGGUGAGGUAACGGCUCACCAAGGCGACGAUGCAUAGCCGACCUGAGAGGGUGAUCGGCCACAUUGGGACUGAGACACGGCCCAAACUCCUACGGGAGGCAGCAGUAGGGAAUCUUCGGCAAUGGACGAAAGUCUGACCGAGCAACGCCGCGUGAGUGAAGAAGGUUUUCGGAUCGUAAAACUCUGUUGUUAGAGAAGAACAAGGAUGAGAGUAACUGUUCAUCCCUUGACGGUAUCUAACCAGAAAGCCACGGCUAACUACGUGCCAGCAGCCGCGGUAAUACGUAGGUGGCAAGCGUUGUCCGGAUUUAUUGGGCGUAAAGCGAGCGCAGGCGGUUUCUUAAGUCUGAUGUGAAAGCCCCCGGCUCAACCGGGGAGGGUCAUUGGAAACUGGGAGACUUGAGUGCAGAAGAGGAGAGUGGAAUUCCAUGUGUAGCGGUGAAAUGCGUAGAUAUAUGGAGGAACACCAGUGGCGAAGGCGGCUCUCUGGUCUGUAACUGACGCUGAGGCUCGAAAGCGUGGGGAGCAAACAGGAUUAGAUACCCUGGUAGUCCACGCCGUAAACGAUGAGUGCUAAGUGUUGGAGGGUUUCCGCCCUUCAGUGCUGCAGCUAACGCAUUAAGCACUCCGCCUGGGGAGUACGACCGCAAGGUUGAAACUCAAAGGAAUUGACGGGGGCCCGCACAAGCGGUGGAGCAUGUGGUUUAAUUCGAAGCAACGCGAAGAACCUUACCAGGUCUUGACAUCCUUUGACCACUCUAGAGAUAGAGCUUCCCCUUCGGGGGCAAAGUGACAGGUGGUGCAUGGUUGUCGUCAGCUCGUGUCGUGAGAUGUUGGGUUAAGUCCCGCAACGAGCGCAACCCUUAUUGUUAGUUGCCAUCAUUUAGUUGGGCACUCUAGCAAGACUGCCGGUGACAAACCGGAGGAAGGUGGGGAUGACGUCAAAUCAUCAUGCCCCUUAUGACCUGGGCUACACACGUGCUACAAUGGGAAGUACAACGAGUCGCAAAGUCGCGAGGCUAAGCUAAUCUCUUAAAGCUUCUCUCA
Molecule: ribosomal RNA, 1317 nt
Filed under: Enterococcus hirae
Lineage: Bacteria; Bacillati; Bacillota; Bacilli; Lactobacillales; Enterococcaceae
Description: partial 16S ribosomal RNA
Rfam family: Bacterial small subunit ribosomal RNA
Source: RNAcentral